ACGAACGCUGGCGGCGUGCUUAACACAUGCAAGUCGAACGGUGAUCAGGAAGCUUGCUUUCUGUGAGCAGUGGCGAACGGGUGAGUAACACGUGAGUAACCUGCCCCAGACUCUGGAAUAAGCGCUGGAAACGGCGUCUAAUACCGGAUAUGACAUCAAGCCGCAUGGUUAUGGUGUGGAAAGUUUUUCGGUCUGGGAUGGACUCGCGGCCUAUCAGCUUGUUGGUGAGGUAAUGGCUUACCAAGGCGAUGACGGGUAGCCGGCCUGAGAGGGCGAUCGGCCACACUGGGACUGAGACACGGCCCAGACUCCUACGGGAGGCAGCAGUGGGGAAUAUUGCACAAUGGGCGCAAGCCUGAUGCAGCGACGCCGCGUGAGGGAUGACGGCCUUCGGGUUGUAAACCUCUUUCAGCAGGGAAGAAGCGAAAGUGACGGUACCUGCAGAAGAAGCACCGGCUAACUACGU
This 466-nucleotide ribosomal RNA is filed under the name uncultured bacterium. RNAcentral describes it as "bacterial SSU rRNA". It matches the Rfam family "Bacterial small subunit ribosomal RNA", at positions 29 to 506 of the family's 1533-position model. The record is from RNAcentral.